RNAcentral lists this long non-coding RNA (445 nucleotides) under Phoenix dactylifera (date palm). RNAcentral describes it as "long non-coding RNA (PDAC_LNC019045)". Lineage: Eukaryota; Viridiplantae; Streptophyta; Magnoliopsida; Arecales; Arecaceae. The record is from RNAcentral.
CUCGCCCUAUCCAUCCCUCCCCGACUCCACCGGCAACACCACAGAAACCACUCCCCUCUCUUAUCUCAGAACUGAAACCCCUCCUCGGGUGUUCGCUCCACGACCCCCUCACCCCUUCCCUUUUUGGGUUCGGGUUCCAAACCCAAAUCCGCAGGCCGCCUCCCCGAUAGCCCGGCCCACGCGCCAACCCCUUUGAGCACGGCCCAGGCCCAGGCGGCCACAGGACCGGCUCGGUCCAGGCCCGCGCGCCCGAGAGCGGCCCAAGCCCAAUCAGCAGCAGGCCCUGUUUCAGGCCCGAUCUAGCACAUUCUUUAGUCCAUUUCAGAAACCCAAGAGCCCCUUAUGCUGCAAAUCCAGGUCCAUAACUCCAGCUAGCUCCGUCCGUCGCCAUCUUCGUGCUCGAGACUCUACAACGGACACUUUCGGUUGACUGCAUCCACCACAG